UGAAGAGUUUGAUCAUGGCUCAGAUUGAACGCUGGCGGCAGGCCUAAC
RNAcentral lists this ribosomal RNA (48 nucleotides) under Nephroselmis pyriformis. Its description in RNAcentral is "partial Bacterial small subunit ribosomal RNA". The record is from RNAcentral. Lineage: Eukaryota; Viridiplantae; Chlorophyta; Nephroselmidophyceae; Nephroselmidales; Nephroselmidaceae.